This 253-nucleotide ribosomal RNA is filed under the name uncultured bacterium. RNAcentral describes it as "partial 16S ribosomal RNA". It matches the Rfam family "Bacterial small subunit ribosomal RNA", at positions 524 to 776 of the family's 1533-position model. The record is from RNAcentral.
UACGGAGGGUGCGAGCGUUGUUCGGAAUCACUGGGCGUAAAGGGCGUGUAGGCGGUCUGUUAAGUCUGAUGUGAAAGCCCGGGGCUCACCCCCGGAAGUGCAUUGGAUACUGGCGGACUCGAGUCUCGGAGAGGAGGGUGGAAUUCCUGGUGUAGCGGUGAAAUGCGUAGAUAUCAGGAGGAACACCGGUGGCGAAGGCGGGUCUCUGGGCCGAUGCUGACGCUGAGGAGCGAAAGCGUGGGGAGCGAACAGG